CGAGUCGGUCGGACGGCCGCGUCGGGACAGGUCGUGAGGCCUUUCCGCCGAGGAACGUCCGGGCUCCGUAGGGCAAGGUGGUGGGUAACGCCCACCCGGGGUGACCCGCGGGACAGUGCCACAGAGAACAGACCGCCACGCGUCGACGGCUUGCCGGAGGCGCGGGGUAAGGGUGAAACGGUGGUGUAAGAGACCACCAGCGGACCGGGUGACCGGUCCGGCUCGGUAAACCCCACCUGGAGCAAGGUCAGACAGGGAGCGUUCGAGGGCGGCCCGCCCGAGCUCCCGGGUAGACCGCUGGAGGCGUGCGGCAACGUACGUCGUAGAUGGAUGGCCGUCACCCGCGCGGGGGCAACCGCGCGCGGGGACAGAACCCGGCGUACAGACCGACUCGUCCG
Molecule: RNase P RNA, 398 nt
Filed under: Cellulosimicrobium terreum
Lineage: Bacteria; Bacillati; Actinomycetota; Actinomycetes; Micrococcales; Promicromonosporaceae
Description: RNase P RNA component class A
Rfam family: Bacterial RNase P class A
About the family: Ribonuclease P (RNase P) is a ubiquitous endoribonuclease, found in archaea, bacteria and eukarya as well as chloroplasts and mitochondria. Its best characterised activity is the generation of mature 5'-ends of tRNAs by cleaving the 5'-leader elements of precursor-tRNAs.
Source: RNAcentral